This 403-nucleotide ribosomal RNA is filed under the name uncultured prokaryote. RNAcentral describes it as "bacterial SSU rRNA". It matches the Rfam family "Bacterial small subunit ribosomal RNA", at positions 355 to 776 of the family's 1533-position model. The record is from RNAcentral. RNAcentral also lists the same sequence under 1 other name.
UGGGGGAUAUUGCACAAUGGGCGCAAGCCUGAUGCAGCGACGCCGCGUGAGGGAAGACGGUCUUCGGAUUGUAAACCUCUGUCAUCGGGGACGAUAAUGACGGUACCCGAGAAGGAAGCUCCGGCUAACUACGUGCCAGCAGCCGCGGUAAUACGUAGGGAGCAAGCGUUGUCCGGAAUUACUGGGUGUAAAGGGAGUGUAGGCGGGAGCGCAAGUUGAAUGUUAAAUCCAUCGGCUUAACUGGUGGUCGCGUUCAAAACUGCGUUUCUUGAGUGAAGUAGAGGUUGGCGGAAUUCCUAGUGUAGCGGUGAAAUGCGUAGAUAUUAGGAGGAACACCAGUGGCGAAGGCGGCCAACUGGGCUUUUACUGACGCUGAGGCUCGAAAGCGUGGGGAGCAAACAGG